Molecule: ribosomal RNA, 473 nt
Filed under: uncultured bacterium
Lineage: Bacteria
Description: bacterial SSU rRNA
Rfam family: Bacterial small subunit ribosomal RNA
Source: RNAcentral
UGGGGAAUAUUGCGCAAUGGGCGAAAGCCUGACGCAGCAACGCCGCGUGAGUGAUGAAGGCCUUCGGGUCGUAAAGCUCUGUCGGAGGGAACGAAUGCUCCUGAAGUUAACAGCCUCAGGAGGUGACGGUACCCUCAAAGGAAGCACCGGCUAACUCUGUGCCAGCAGCCGCGGUAAUACGUAGGGACCAAGCGUUGUUCGGAUUUACUGGGCGUAAAGGGCGCGUAGGCGGCAAUUCAAGUCAUCUGUGAAAUCUCCGGGCUUAACUCGGAACGGUCAGAUGAUACUGCUUUGCUAGAGUGCAGAAGGGGCAAUCGGAAUUCUUGGUGUAGCGGUGAAAUGCGUAGAUAUCAAGAGGAACACCUGAGGUGAAGACGGGUUGCUGGGCUGACACUGACGCUGAGGCGCGAAAGCCAGGGGAGCAAACGGGAUUAGAUACCCCAGUAGUCCCUGAGCGGGCUGGCAAGGCGCAU